Molecule: long non-coding RNA, 2209 nt
Filed under: Nilaparvata lugens (brown planthopper)
Lineage: Eukaryota; Metazoa; Arthropoda; Insecta; Hemiptera; Delphacidae
Description: uncharacterized LOC120354414
Source: RNAcentral
UUGGCUAGUUUGCAGUUAGUACUUGAACUGUAUGUUAGUGCACGGAGCUUUUCCUUUGUUUUCCCUUUGAAUAGUUUUAGUUUUGAUCUUUCGUUCUUUCUCUCUUACGUUCUAGCUUUAUAAUACGUUAUAGGUACAUACAUAUAGGUCCACAUUUUUAUUAUAAAGCAAGAGGAACAUCACCAGCAUGUUUCAAUUUUCAAUGCGAGAACUGUGAUGCCAUAAUGGCAGAAGCCACUUUCUUGUCUACAUCUCAAAUAAUAGAAAUUGCACGGGCGUGAAAUCUACGUACAGCAGUGAUGAGAUUCUGGAAUUCCAUUGUCUGCAAUGUCUACUCCUAAUCUCCUAUAAUUGAAGAGCAGAUGAAAGAAGCUGUAGUUUUGCAAAAUUUCAUGUUCGAUGAUGAUGCUGAUGAUUAUGAGAAUUCUCAAUUUCAACAACCUCCGGCCACUUCCUCCUUCAACGAUAAACUGUCGGUUCCUGCUGCCUAGAACCAUAUAUAAAGGAUAAUAUUUAUAUUUCUUGUCUCUACUAGAACGUAGUGGUCAUUUUAUAAUCACUCCUUCCAUUACCAACACACAAGCCAAGGGCUCAUGUGGGUAUCACACUCCAAAAAUAAUACUUCGACACUGCAGUAUUUCAGCACUUGUUUAUAACAAUGACGAUUUUCUAAGAGAAGAAUAGUUUGAAAAAAAUCCUAGUAUAGCAUAAAAUAACACCAAACAUAUUUUUUGCAGGCUUCAAAUAGAUUGAAUUAAGUUAUUUUCAAUGAGAGCAUUUAUUCAAAGGAGAGGAGCACAGAGGUGCGUGAAGCUACCUCGUUGUGAAGAGCAGACCGUUGGGUGUGUACUUCAGCGACUCGAGUGACAGUUUGUAUUGUAGCUCACAGGACUCUAAUAUUUUGUUAUUGACCAAGGAGCUCAGCAAAUCUGACAAUGAGUGUACUGAGGCUACAGACCGUUAGGUGUGUCUCAUAACCCCCCAUGGGCAAUUCUCCUGACGAAUAAUGUUGUAGAAAUUCACUUAGACCGCGGGACUAUAUUUUAUUAUAGAACUAUUGGACUAUUGUGAAUUUCAACAUUUCUACAUGAAAAUAAUCUUUCUUCACUUGGAGCCUACAAAUUAAAAUGAGUUACAUAUUUAAAUUCAAGUGCAAUUAUAUUCUCUUUUCCAUAGUUAAUGUCUUGUUUAGAAUUCACAAUAAUUUUAUUCCACCGAAAUAUAUAUUUAUAUUAAUUCUAAACAUAAAUAAAUUUUAAUAUUCAUUAUUACUCAUAAUAACCAAUAUGAGAGAAAUGUAGAUUCAAUUAUAUAUUUUCAAUUCUAAACAUCCAAAAUCAAAACGGAGUUUUCAUCAGUCAAAAGCUUGUCAGUAUUCUUGUCAGUUUUAUUUUUUAUAAUAAUAGUUUACAACAUACAAUAUAAUUAUGGUAGUAUUUCAGUCGAAAUUCUGAAUGUGAAUGUGAAACUUGUUGCUUCCUUUUUCAAUAGAAGAAUACUAUCAAUUAUUAUUAUUUAUAAUAUUAGAAUUAUGAAUAAUAAUAAUCAUUAUUGAUAAAAUCUUAAACAUUUUAUCGAAUAAAUUGAAAUUAAUGGGGUUUAUUAAAAUUUAUUUUCAUUGGUGUCAACGUUCUAAAAAUAAAGGUGGACCAAUAACGGUAUUGUCAGUUCCACAUAAUUUAUUUUAGCCGAACUUGAAGUUUCAAUGCACUAGGGCAUCAUCUUCAGUGGUAUUUUUCUCAAAGAAUGAUCUAAGAUGGUCUCUAUCUAAAAGACCACUCACUGAAGAUGAUGCCUUGAAACUCAAGUUUGGCUCAAAUAAAUUAUGUGAAACGGACAAUAUCGUUUUUAUUCCACCUCAAUAUGGAGAAAUUCCACAAUAUCUCUGUUCAUAGUGUAUAAAAGAUGUUUUAAUGUUUACAUGAGUAUAAUUAAUUGUAGAUUUAAGUGAAAUUUUUAAUAUUUUUGGCGAUUGUGAAGGAAGAUUUUUGUUUUGAUUUGUAUUUUGAAGUUAAUUAAUCUGAUAAAUUCAAAAUUGUAGAAGAUACAUUUUUUUGGACUCAAAAUAGUGUGUGAAUUAAGUUAUAAUUUUUACAAAACCUCUAGACUAUGUAUUCCAAAUUGAGGUUUAGAGCAGUUUUGGGCGAAUGCCUGUUUUUUUACCUGGAUUGUAUUUGUAUAUGAAUAAAUAAAUAAGUUCUAAAAAUAG